RNAcentral lists this ribosomal RNA (448 nucleotides) under uncultured bacterium. RNAcentral describes it as "partial 16S ribosomal RNA". It matches the Rfam family "Bacterial small subunit ribosomal RNA", at positions 328 to 793 of the family's 1533-position model. The record is from RNAcentral.
GGGCCAGACUCCUACGGGAGGCAGCAGUGGGGAAUAUUGCACAAUGGGGGAAACCCUGAUGCAGCGACGCCGCGUGAGCGAUGAAGUAUUUCGGUAUGUAAAGCUCUAUCAGCAGGGAAGAAGAUGACGGUACCUGACUAAGAAGCCCCGGCUAACUACGUGCCAGCAGCCGCGGUAAUACGUAGGGGGCAAGCGUUAUCCGGAUUUACUGGGUGUAAAGGGAGCGUAGACGGCGAUGCAAGCCAGAUGUGAAAGCCCGGGGCUCAACCCCGGGACUGCAUUUGGAACUGUGUGGCUGGAGUGUCGGAGAGGCAGGCGGAAUUCCUAGUGUAGCGGUGAAAUGCGUAGAUAUUAGGAGGAACACCAGUGGCGAAGGCGGCCUGCUGGACAAUGACUGACGUUGAGGCUCGAAAGCGUGGGUAGCAAACAGGAUUAGAUACCCGCGUAU